This 253-nucleotide ribosomal RNA is filed under the name uncultured bacterium. RNAcentral's name for it is "partial 16S ribosomal RNA". It matches the Rfam family "Bacterial small subunit ribosomal RNA", at positions 524 to 776 of the family's 1533-position model. The record is from RNAcentral.
UACGGGGGGGGCAAGCGUUGUUCGGAAUUACUGGGCGUAAAGGGCUCGUAGGCGGCCAACUAAGUCGGAUGUGAAAUCCCCAGGCUUAACCUGGGAACUGCAUCCGAUACUGGAUGGCUUGAAUCCGGGAGAGGGAUGCAGAAUUCCAGGUGUAGCGGUGAAAUGCGUAGAUAUCUGGAGGAAUGCCGGUGGCGAAGGCGGCAUCCUGGACCGGCAUUGACGCUGAGGAGCGAAAGCUAGGGGAGCAAACGGG